GGUUCGGAUCAUGGCUUCAGAUUGAACGCUGGCGGAUGUUUUACACAUGCAAGUCGAACGGCAUUGAUCGUCUGUAAGCAGGGCACACCGGUGAGAAUGAUUUGAAUGUGCUUAGUAGCGGGGGAUAACUACGCGAGCGCGGGGUAGCUAAUACCGCAUACGCCCUUCGGGAGAAAGCGGGGGACCUUCGGGCCUCGCACUAUUAGAGCGGCCGAUAUCGGAUUAGCUAGUUGGUGGGGCAACGGCUCACCAAGGCGACGAUCCGUAGCUGGUUUGAGAGGACGACCAGCCACACUGGGACCGAGACACGGCCCAGACUCCUACGGGAGGCAGCAGUGGGGAAUUUUGGACAAUGGGGGAAACCCUCAUCCAGCCAUCCCGCGGCAGGCAUGAAGGCCUUGAAGCAAAGCACUCUUGGCAGAAAAGAAACGGCACGGGAUAAUACCCCGCAACUGAUCAGUACCUGCAGAAUAAGCACUACGACCACGUGCCAGCAGCCGCGGUAAUACGUAGGGUGCAAGCGUUAAUCGGAAUUACUGGGGUGAGCGGCAGGCGGUUCGGAAAGAAAGAUGAACUGAGUUUAACUUUGGAACUGCAUUUUUAACUACCGAGCUGAGGCCGAGAGAAUUCGCGUGUAGCAGUGAAAUGCGUAGAUAAGUGGAAGAAACAUCGAUGGCGAAGGCAGCCUCCUGAUAACACUGACGCCUGGCGCACGAAAGCGGAGCAAACAGGAUUAGAUACCCGGUAGUCCACGCCCAAACGAUGUCAACUAGCUGCCAGUUUCGGCCUCGGUAGCAGCUAACGCGUGAAGCGAUCACCUGUGGCGCGGUCGCAAGAUUAAAACCCGUGCGAUCGAUAAUCGCACAAGCGGUGGAUGAUGUGGAUUAAUUGAUGCAACGAAAACGCACCACUUUUUGACAUGUCUGGAAUCCCAUGAUUAGAGUGCCGCAAGAGAACUGGAAACAGAAAGCUGCAUGGCUGUCGUCAGCUCGCAUGUGGAGAUGCCGGGUUAAGUCCCGCAACGAGCGCAACUCCUUGUCAUUAGUUACAAGAAAGGGCACUUUAAUGAGACUGCCGGUGACAAACCGGAGGGGAAGGUGGGAUGACGUUGUCCUCGCGGCUCUUGGUGGGUAGGGCUUCACACGUCAUACGCCGGGCGAGGUCGCCAACCCGCGAGGAGCUAAUCUCAGAAACCUGAUCGUAGUCCGGAUCGCAGUCUGCAACUCGACUGCGUGAAGUCGUGGAAUCUGCUAGUAAUCAGAUCAGCAUGUCGCGGUGAAUACGUUCCGGGGUCUUGUACACACCGCCCGUCACACCAUGUGGAGUGGCUUUACCAUAGUUAGCCUAACCGUAAGGAGGGCGAUUACCACGGUAGGAUUCAUGACUGGUGAAGUCGUAACAAGGUAA
RNAcentral lists this ribosomal RNA (1407 nucleotides) under uncultured Bordetella sp. RNAcentral's name for it is "partial 16S-23S ribosomal RNA intergenic spacer". It matches the Rfam family "Bacterial small subunit ribosomal RNA". Lineage: Bacteria; Pseudomonadati; Pseudomonadota; Betaproteobacteria; Burkholderiales; Alcaligenaceae. The record is from RNAcentral.